UGUGCUAAUACCGCAUAAUCUCUCAGGAGAAAAGCAGGGGAUCGCAAGACCUUGCGCUUUAGGAGCGGCCGAUGCCUGAUUAGCUUGUUGGUAAGGUAAAAGCUUACCAAGGCUUCGAUCAGUAGCUGGUCUGAGAGGACGACCAGCCACACUGGGACUGAGACACGGCCCAGACUCCUACGGGAGGCAGCAAGUGGGGAAUUUUGGACAAUGGGGGAAACCCUGAUCCAGCCAUGCCGCGUGGGUGAAGAAGGCCUUCGGGUUGUAAAGCUCUUUCAGCCGGAACGAAACGGU
This 294-nucleotide ribosomal RNA is filed under the name uncultured Pseudomonadota bacterium. Its description in RNAcentral is "uncultured proteobacterium partial 16S ribosomal RNA". It matches the Rfam family "Bacterial small subunit ribosomal RNA", at positions 159 to 454 of the family's 1533-position model. Lineage: Bacteria; Pseudomonadati; Pseudomonadota. The record is from RNAcentral.